Molecule: long non-coding RNA, 383 nt
Organism: Seriola dumerili (greater amberjack)
Lineage: Eukaryota; Metazoa; Chordata; Actinopteri; Carangiformes; Carangidae
Exons: 4
Source: RefSeq, a predicted model, not a curated record
GAUGGGAAAGUAUCUUUCUGAACCUUACAAGAACCCAAAACCUCAUAACUUCAGACCGCUUGAUGACGACCUUCCAGACAUAGUAACUACAUAUGAGAGAGAUCCUGGCAACCUGAAUUUAAAAUUAAGGCACUUGGACACAAUGCGGACCAUCAGAUCUGACAUAUACUUCAGUUCAAGGGACGCCAAGACAAGGAUGGACACAUAUAAACCUGCAGAGCCCAGAUGGGAUGCGGGGCUCAUCCUCCCUCUGCCGCCCUGGCCUCCAAAAUCAGCCUCCUACACUAGACACCGGCGAAGAAGAGGAGCACACAGCGCCUUCUUGGACCGAGUGGAAGAGAAGCUCUCAAGAUCCUGGAAAAAUAAAUCAUGAUUCUUUCUUU